UUUGAUGGUGGCUCAGAUUGAACGCUGGCGGCAGGCCUAACACAUGCAAGUCGAGCGGUAACAGAUUGAUAGCUUGCUAUCAAUGCUGACGAGCGGCGGACGGGUGAGUAAUGCCUGGGAAUAUACCCUGGUGUGGGGGAUAACUAUUGGAAACGAUAGCUAAUACCGCAUAAUCUCUUCGGAGCAAAGAGGGGGACCUUCGGGCCUCUCGCGUCAGGAUUAGCCCAGGUGGGAUUAGCUAGUUGGUGGGGUAAUGGCUCACCAAGGCGACGAUCCCUAGCUGGUCUGAGAGGAUGAUCAGCCACACUGGAACUGAGACACGGUCCAGACUCCUACGGGAGGCAGCAGUGGGGAAUAUUGCACAAUGGGGGAAACCCUGAUGCAGCCAUGCCGCGUGUAUGAAGAAGGCCUUCGGGUUGUGAAGUACUUUCAGUUGUGAGGAAGGCGUUGGAGUUAAUAGCUUCAGCGCUGACG
This 474-nucleotide ribosomal RNA is filed under the name Photobacterium sp. CS13. Its description in RNAcentral is "bacterial SSU rRNA". It matches the Rfam family "Bacterial small subunit ribosomal RNA", at positions 12 to 480 of the family's 1533-position model. The record is from RNAcentral. Lineage: Bacteria; Pseudomonadati; Pseudomonadota; Gammaproteobacteria; Vibrionales; Vibrionaceae.